GACGAACGCUGGCGGCGUGCUUAACACAUGCAAGUCGAACGGACAGGCCCUACUUUUGUUUGGUGCACGAUUGGCGAACGGGUGAGUAACACGUAAGUAACCUGCCCUUAACUUUGGGAUAACUUCAGGAAACUGGGGCUAAUACCAGCUAGUAGCUCCUGCUGCUUAGUAUUGGUUGGAAAUUUUCGGUGGUUGGGAAUGGACUCGCGGCUUAUCAGCUUGUUGGUGUGGUAGUGACUUGGCAAGGAAUGGACGGAUAGCCGGCCUGAGAGGGUGACAGGGCCCAGUGGGACUGAGGUAGAGGCCAGAGUGCAACGGGAGGCAGGAGUGGGGAAUAGAGCACAAUGGGCGGAAGGAGGAUGGAACAACGUCGGGUGGGGGAGGACGGUUGUCGGGUUGUAAACCGCUUGAGCGUGGGACGAAGAGAGAGUGACGGUAACGGGUCAAGAAGCAACGGCUAACUACGUG
Molecule: ribosomal RNA, 468 nt
Filed under: uncultured bacterium
Lineage: Bacteria
Description: partial 16S ribosomal RNA
Rfam family: Bacterial small subunit ribosomal RNA
Source: RNAcentral